CCUACGGGAGUCAGCAGUGAGGAAUAUUGGUCAAUGGCCGUAAGGCUGAACCAGCCAAGUCGCGUGAGGGAAGAAGGAUCUAUGGAUUGUAAACUUCUUUUGUAGGGGAAUAAAGGUAUCCACGUGUGGCUAUUUGCAUGUACCCGAAGAAUAAGCAUCGGCUAACUCCGUGCCAGCAGCCGCGGUAAUCCGGAGGAUGCGAGCGUUAUCCGGAUUUAUUGGGUUUAAAGGGUGCGUGGUUGGAUGUUCAAUUCAGCGGUAAAAUUUUGGGGCUAAACCUUAAAGUGCCGUUGAAACUGGAAGACGUGAGUGUGCUUGAGGUAUGCGGAAUGCGUGGUGUAGCGGUGAAAUGCAUAGAUAUCACGCAGAACUCCGAUUGCGAAGGCAGCAUACUAAGCCAUAACUGACACUGAAGCACGAAAGUGUGGGGAUCAAACAGGAUUAGAUACCCCGGUAGUC
RNAcentral lists this ribosomal RNA (459 nucleotides) under uncultured bacterium. RNAcentral describes it as "partial 16S ribosomal RNA". It matches the Rfam family "Bacterial small subunit ribosomal RNA", at positions 338 to 795 of the family's 1533-position model. The record is from RNAcentral.